CCUACGGGGGACAGCAGUGAGGAAUAUUGGUCAAUGGACGCAAGUCUGAACCAGCCAUGCCGCGUGCAGGAAGACGGCUCUAUGAGUUGUAAACUGCUUUUAUAAAGGAAUAAAGUGAGGCACGUGUGCCUUUUUGUAUGUACUUUAUGAAUAAGGAUCGGCUAACUCCGUGCCAGCAGCCGCGGUAAUACGGAGGAUCCGAGCGUUAUCCGGAUUUAUUGGGUUUAAAGGGAGCGUAGGCGGAUUGAUAAGUUAGAGGUGAAAUGUCCGAGCUUAACUCGGGAACUGCCUCUAAUACUGUUGAUCUAGAGAGUAGAUGCGGUAGGCGGAAUGUAUGGUGUAGCGGUGAAAUGCUUAGAGAUCAUACAGAACACCGAUUGCGAAGGCAGCUUACCAAUCUAUAUCUGACGUUGAGGCACGAAAGCGUGGGGAGCAAACAGGAUUAGAUACCCUAGUAGUC
This 460-nucleotide ribosomal RNA is filed under the name uncultured bacterium. RNAcentral's name for it is "partial 16S ribosomal RNA". It matches the Rfam family "Bacterial small subunit ribosomal RNA", at positions 338 to 795 of the family's 1533-position model. The record is from RNAcentral.